AUGGACGCAUCCAGCCAGACCCAAGGGGCUGGGGGCCCUGCUGGAGUGAUUGGACCCUGGGCGCCCGCCCCCCUCCGAUUGGGAGAGGCAGCCCCAGGGACCCCCACACCCGUCUCCGUGGCUCACCUUUUGUCCCCCAUGGCCACAGAGCUGGUGCCCUACACGCCGCAGAUAACAGCCUGGGACCUGGAAGGGAAGGUCACAGCCACCACCUUCUCCCUGGAGCAACCGCGCUGUGUCUUCGAUGGGCGUGCCAGCGCCAGUGACACCGUCUGGCUCGUGGUGGCCUUCAGCAAUGCCUCCAGGGGCUUCCAGAACCCAGAGACACUGGCUGACAUCCCGGCCUCCCCACAGCUGCUGACCGAUGGCCACUACAUGACGCUGCCCCUGUCUCUGGACCGGCUACCCUGUGACGACCCCAUGGCGGGCAGCGGUGGCGCCCCUGUGCUGCGGGUGGGCCAUGACCACAGCUGCCACCAGCAGCCCUUCUGCAAUGCGCCCCUCCCUGGCCCUGGACCCUAUCG
This 524-nucleotide small RNA is filed under the name Pongo abelii (Sumatran orangutan). RNAcentral's name for it is "retained intron". Lineage: Eukaryota; Metazoa; Chordata; Mammalia; Primates; Hominidae. The record is from RNAcentral.